Molecule: long non-coding RNA, 2173 nt
Filed under: Homo sapiens (human)
Lineage: Eukaryota; Metazoa; Chordata; Mammalia; Primates; Hominidae
Description: HSALNT0386295
Source: RNAcentral
GUAGAUCUACCAGGUGCAGGGAAGCACUCCACACCCUCACCCAGGUCCUGUAUCCCUGCAAGACUGCGUUGGAAAGACUGAAGAGGUAAGAAUAUACCGAUUUAAUUGCGGAUUCCGGGUCACAUUUCACGUUUCCAUGCUCUUUCUUUGAAGUAAUUUUUAAUUUAAAAUCUUAGGCUCUUGGAUUAUUUGGGUUUGUAUGGUUGAAUGAAACUAUCAUUGACCUUAGGUAUAUUUAUUUCUUCUUGGUAUCAGACCUAGUAUGAUGGAGGCACAAACCUGUUUUGCGUUUUUCUUUACUCACUCUACUUAUUAAGCACCUACCUACCAUGUACAGGGUAACUGUUCUAGGGGCUAUAGAUGUUGUAUUUCAGGUUUGUCUACUCAGUUUUCUUUUUCUGGGUCACUUUGCAUCUUUAUCGCUGGGCUUCGUAAAAGACUAAUAAUAAUCCGCUUCAUCUGUAUAGUGCUUUACAGCUUACAGAGCACUUUUACAAAAAUUGUCUCAUGUGAUCCUCCCACAUAAACCUCAGUUAAGCACAUGGCGUGGGAAGCAUCAUGGCUGAGUGCAAAGAACCUGGACCAUGAAUACAGAUCAACCUGAGUACCCAUUUUAUAGCUGAAGAAGCUGAGCCACUGUUUAGGGUCACGAACAGUUAUUCUCCUUACUACUACCUGUAAGUAGUAAGCCAGUGCUCCUUUCACAUGUUUGUGGACUAUCUGAGAAACUGCAUGCUAUAUGCACAUAUAAAGUGUGCUUCCCAGACUUACAGAAAGCAUACAACCCCAGAACCCACUCAUAUUCAGGUUCCCCCAAAGGACGUGAGGAUAAGAAUCUCUCAGUUCUCUGUGAAUUAUUAGUAAUUAGAUAAUACCACGUGUUUAAUUGUUCACAAUUAAUUCCUGUGGGAAUGAGGAAAUUACUAUCCUAACAUCAGCAGUGGGAGAUGCUUAGACCAAGGACAGAUUCUAUUUGGUUUUAUUUUAUAUGAUCCUCAGAAUUUUAUUUCUCAGAUUAUUGUUGAUGUCCAGAGAAUAACUCUCCCUCCAACCUCAGCCAUUCCCUUUGCUACACACAUACAUCAUUCAGUAUAUUUUUAAUUUUAUAAGUAGGUAAUCAGAGUAUUUUAUAUACUCUCUAAAAGAAACAACGGCAAAGCCCUUUACUGCAUGUGGCUCCUGGAUCUGGAGGGCAAUUCAUUAUAUCAAUAAGAUUCCCCAGCUCUGACUUACAGAAUGUGGGCUCUGAUUAGGUAAACUGACUUCCCCUGUUUGUUCCCUUUUAUACUUUAAUUAAAUAUAAAAUUACUUUAAUUAUUUAAAUAUGUAUGCAUUGGCAGUCUACUGUGUUUAAUAUAUUGAUUUAGACAUGAAGACAGGUUGGGAUGUCAUGAGCUUGGAAUCUUGAAAUCUUGAAAAUUCUGGAAUGUUUUCUCAAAACAAUUUACAUUAGAAUUAGCUGGGGUGCUUGUUAAAAAUUCAGUUAUCCAUCUUACUUUUACCAACUCAGAUUCUUCAGCCAUUUGCAUUGAUAGCCACUCCCCAGGCUGGAGUGCAGUGGCGCAAUCUUGGCUCACAGGAACCUCCGCCUCCCAGGUUCAAGAGAUUCUCAUGCCUCAGCCUCGCGAGUAGCUGGAAUUACAGGUGAGCGCCCAUGCCCAGCUACUUUUUUUUGUAUUUUUAGUAGAGACAGGGUUUCACCAUGUUGGCCAGGCUGGUCUCCAACUCCUGACCUCAAGUGAUCUGCCAGCCUCGGCUUCCCAAAGUGCUGGGAUUACAGGUGUGAGCCCAUGCACGCAGUGAAUUAGGCAUUUUAGGGAGAAUGGUAGGUCACUAGAAAUUUUGGGUUUCUGCACUAAGUGUUUCUGUUAUAAAAUUGAUAACUCACAAUCCAACUUAGUGGUGAAUAUGAUUUAGAAGAAUGUCUGGUUUUGGCUAAGAGAUGACUUUUCUUUUUUUUCCAGUUUGUAUCUGGCAUUAAUGAGGGAAGGUGCUGAUCAAUUUUUUUAUGUCCCUAAAAGAUGAGUCUUCUAUUCAGCAUUUCCCUAACUCAUACUUGUGCACAUCUCUCAGACCUACCAGAGUGGUGGUUCUCAAAUGUUGUGCACAAGAAUUACCCAAGAUGCUUUUUAAAGAGCAGAUUUCUGGGUUUAAUCCCUAGAAUUUCUGAAUC